CCUACGGGAUGCAGCAGUGGGGGAUAUUGCACAAUGGGGGGAACCCUGAUGCAGCGACGCCGCGUGGGUGAAGGAGUAUUUCGGUAUGUAAAGCCCUAUCGGCAGGGAAGAAAUUGGACGGUACCUGACUAAGAAGCCCCGGCUAACUACGUGCAAGCAGCCGCGGUAAUACGUAGGGGGCAAGCGUUAUCCGGAUUCACUGGGUGUAAAGGGAGCGUAGACGGCCAUGCAAGCCAGGGGUGAAAGCCCGGGGCGCAACCCCGGGACUGCCCUUGGAACUGCAUGGCUGGAGUGCGGGAGGGGCAGGCGGAAUGCCGGGGGUAGCGGGGAAAUGCGUAGAUAUCAGGAGGAACACCGGCGGCGAAGGCGGCCUGCUGGACCGCGACUGACGUUGAGGCUCGAAAGCGUGGGGAGCGAACAGGAUUAGAUACCCCAGUAGUC
RNAcentral lists this ribosomal RNA (441 nucleotides) under uncultured bacterium. Its description in RNAcentral is "partial 16S ribosomal RNA". It matches the Rfam family "Bacterial small subunit ribosomal RNA", at positions 338 to 795 of the family's 1533-position model. The record is from RNAcentral.